AUAUCACUAAAAUAUAGACAACUGUAACUGUAGUUUAUCACACGCAGCGAAGUUGCCAAAUUGAUUAGGUACGGUAUAUGUCAAACUCAACCGUACCUGAUCAACCGCCACUAAAGUGGGGAUGAAGCUGCGAUAGGACUGUGGCCAAUACUGUUUUAAAAUUACUUAAGAUGUACACAUACUAUAUAGUACCAAAUGUAUCUGGAUAUGUAUAAGAACCAGAACAAAUAAACAUUUCAAGUGCACCUUGCAAAUUAUUCAGAAAUAUGUCAUUUCCUAGAUAUAUCAGUCAAAUGAACACCAUCUUCCUUUAAAAAAGUACUAUUAGGAAGAAUAUCUGGAUACUUUAUAUAAUGCCCCCCAUUCUUUAACACGAAUGAUGCAAUGGCACUAUUUAUCCUAAUUCUGCAUGCCAUUAUGCUAUCCUGACUUAUUGAAUGACGCCAAUUUGUUCUCGGUAAAAUUUGAGACAGACAAUCGAACUAUUAGGUAGAUAACUUUGUACCUUCUCCAAGGUGGCCUUGAUUUCAUUCCUUAAAAACCCUAGUUUUGUCUUCCCCAAAUCAUUUCCAGCAAUAUGAAGGACAAGAUAUUUCUUUUUAUUGUUGAUUCCAAAUCUUUUAAACACAUGCCACCA
This 637-nucleotide long non-coding RNA is filed under the name Mytilus galloprovincialis (Mediterranean mussel). Lineage: Eukaryota; Metazoa; Mollusca; Bivalvia; Mytilida; Mytilidae. The record is from RNAcentral.